UGAGAUAUAGCAUAUAAUAAUGCAUUUCACUUACACUGAAAACAUGCUUGAAUUCAAGCUGUCUUAA
RNAcentral lists this transfer RNA (67 nucleotides) under Turritella capensis. RNAcentral's name for it is "Protomella capensis tRNA-Val". The record is from RNAcentral. Lineage: Eukaryota; Metazoa; Mollusca; Gastropoda; Turritellidae.